This 379-nucleotide ribosomal RNA is filed under the name uncultured bacterium. RNAcentral's name for it is "bacterial SSU rRNA". It matches the Rfam family "Bacterial small subunit ribosomal RNA", at positions 918 to 1297 of the family's 1533-position model. The record is from RNAcentral.
GGCCCGCACAAGCGGUGGAGUAUGUGGUUUAAUUCGAUGCAACGCGAAGAACCUUACCAGGGUUUGACAUCCUGCGAAUCUCUUGGAAACAGGAGAGUGCCUUCGGGAACGCAGUGACAGGUGGUGCAUGGCUGUCGUCAGCUCGUGUCGUGAGAUGUUGGGUUAAGUCCCGCAACGAGCGCAACCCACGUCUUUAGUUGCCAGCAUUAGUUGGGCACUCUAGGGAGACUGCCGGUGACAAACCGGAGGAAGGUGGGGACGACGUCAAAGUCAUCAUGGCCCUUACGACCAGGGCUACACACGUGCUACAAUGGGAUGUACAAAGGGUUGCGACCCCCGCGAGGGUGAGCUAAUCCCAUAAAACAUCUCGUAGUCCGGA